UGACGAGUGGCGGACGGGUGAGUAAUGCUUGGGAACUUGCCUUUGCGAGGGGGAUAACAGUUGGAAACGACUGCUAAUACCGCAUAAUGUCUACGGACCAAACGGGGCUUAGGCUCCGGCGCAAAGAGAGGCCCAAGUGAGAUUAGCUAGUUGGUAAGGUAACGGCUUACCAAGGCGACGAUCUCUAGCUGUUCUGAGAGGAAGAUCAGCCACACUGGGACUGAGACACGGCCCAGACUCCUACGGGAGGCAGCAGUGGGGAAUAUUGCACAAUGGGGGGAACCCUGAUGCAGCCAUGCCGCGUGUGUGAAGAAGGCCUUCGGGUUGUAAAGCACUUUCAGUUGUGAGGAAAAGUUAGUAGUUAAUACCUGCUAGCCGUGACGUUAACAACAGAAGAAGCACCGGCUAACUCCGUGCCAGCAGCCGCGGUAAUACGGAGGGUGCGAGCGUUAAUCGGAAUUACUGGGCGUAAAGCGCACGCAGGCGGUUUGUUAAGCUAGAUGUGAAAGCCCCGGGCUCAACCUGGGAUGGUCAUUUAGAACUGGCAGACUAGAGUCUUGGAGAGGGGAGUGGAAUUCCAGGUGUAGCGGUGAAAUGCGUAGAUAUCUGGAGGAACAUCAGUGGCGAAGGCGACUCCCC
This 639-nucleotide ribosomal RNA is filed under the name bacterium T474. Its description in RNAcentral is "bacterial SSU rRNA". It matches the Rfam family "Bacterial small subunit ribosomal RNA", at positions 89 to 730 of the family's 1533-position model. The record is from RNAcentral.